This 1035-nucleotide long non-coding RNA is filed under the name Cyanistes caeruleus (blue tit). Its description in RNAcentral is "lncRNA (ENSCCEG00000011728.1)". The record is from RNAcentral. Lineage: Eukaryota; Metazoa; Chordata; Aves; Passeriformes; Paridae.
CUACCAAAGGCCAUGUAAGGACCAGGGAAGGGGAGCAGAAUUGCCAACAAAUUGAAAUUCACAAUCACAUGAAAAAAGAGGUGAAAGUACAGCAGCUCUCCAUUACAAUCACAGCUGGUCCGAGGAUUGUCGCGAUUGCUGUCAGAGGUCUAGACCAAUUGCUGUAUGUACCGACUUUUCCAUCACUUAAAGUUCAGUGCAUGAGAAACAGCUCUGGGCUUAUCUUUUAUGUACAAGGUAAUUUCACCAGACACAUACAGACAAAAGGAUCUUUAUGUAUCUAUUUUCAAUAAUGUAUUUCUCCCAUACUGUAAGCAAUUAUCUGCUCCAUGGAAAAUCUGGGAUGUGGGAAGGGUUUUUAGAAAAUUCCCAUAAACUGCUUCCUAAUGGUUGUUGAGGGUUGUUUUGUUUUCUUUUCUUUUCUUUUUCCCAUUAUAACAUAUUGGCUUGCAUUGGUCAUAACCACACAAAGUAGCAGUUUUUUAAUCCCACAUGCUCCUUAUAUUUUUGUAAUGAACACAUGAAACAAAAUGAACAAGACUUAAGUUAGUAUUUCUUAUUGGAAGACUAAUCAACUUGGAGCUGGCAAUUUUUAUUUAAAUCCAAAGGAACAGCCAAUAAUGAAGUAUAAACAAUACAGCAAUAUAGUCAAUCAUGUAAUAUGUGAUUCAAAAAAAUCUUUACAAGAAAUGUACCACCACUCUAUGUAUGGGCUACAAAUUCACAUUAAAUAAUGAAAAGGUGCAAAUUACCGACACACCAGAAACAAGUGUACAUAAGUUAAUGAAUGAUGUAUUAACCCAGACAAUGGCAAAAAUCAUAAAUCAUGGUUGGGCAAGUAUAAAUCUCCAUUUUCACAGAUUGUAUGGUGUUAAGCAGACGGUGAACCUUGGUUGAAAAUUCAGUUACAAAGCAUUGUGGGGAUCAAAUGGCAUUAUUAUGUUUCCACAAAAGUAGGAGAAAAGGGAGGAGAAAGAACAUGAAAAAAUUCUAAAAAAACAACUGUAAAUAAAAGAAUACCUUAACUGUAAUACA